Molecule: ribosomal RNA, 200 nt
Filed under: uncultured bacterium
Lineage: Bacteria
Description: partial 16S ribosomal RNA
Rfam family: Bacterial small subunit ribosomal RNA
Source: RNAcentral
UACGUAGGGUGCGAGCGUUUAAUCGGAAUUACUGGGCGUAAAGCGUGCGCAGGCGGUUUGUUAAGACAGAUGUGAAAUCCCCGGGCUUAACCUGGGAACUGCAUUUGUGACUGGCAAGCUAGAGUAUGGCAGAGGGGGGUAGAAUUCCACGUGUAGCAGUGAAAUGCGUAGAGAUGUGGAGGAAUACCGAUGGCGAAGGC